This is a transfer RNA of Cavia porcellus (domestic guinea pig), 64 nucleotides long. It matches the Rfam family "tRNA". From Rfam's summary of the family: Transfer RNA (tRNA) molecules are approximately 80 nucleotides in length. Their secondary structure includes four short double-helical elements and three loops (D, anti-codon, and T loops). Further hydrogen bonds mediate the characteristic L-shaped molecular structure. tRNAs have two regions of fundamental functional importance: the anti-codon, which is responsible for specific mRNA codon recognition, and the 3' end, to which the tRNAs corresponding amino acid is attached (by aminoacyl-tRNA synthetases). tRNAs cope with the degeneracy of the genetic code in two manners: having more than one tRNA (with a specific anti-codon) for a particular amino acid; and 'wobble' base-pairing, i.e. permitting non-standard base-pairing at the 3rd anti-codon position. The record is from Rfam. Lineage: Eukaryota; Metazoa; Chordata; Mammalia; Rodentia; Caviidae.
GGGGAUUUAGCUCAGCGGCAUAAGCGCUUGCCUGGCAAGCAUGAGGUUAUGAGUUCAAUUCCCA